UAGGGAAUCUUCCACAAUGGACGCAAGUCUGAUGGAGCAACGCCGCGUGAGUGAAGAAGGUUUUCGGAUCGUAAAGCUCUGUUGUUGGUGAAGAAGGAUAGAGGUAGUAACUGGCCUUUAUUUGACGGUAAUCAACCAGAAAGUCACGGCUAACUACGUGCCAGCAGCCGCGGUAAUACGUAGGUGGCAAGCGUUGUCCGGAUUUAUUGGGCGUAAAGCGAGCGCAGGUGGAAGAAUAAGUCUGAUGUGAAAGACCUCGGCUUAACCGAGGAACUGCAUCGGAAACUGUUUUUCUUGAGUGCAGAAGAGGAGAGUGGAAUUCCAUGUGUAGCGGUGGAAUGCGUAGAUAUAUGGGAGAACACCAGUGGCGAAGGCGACUCUCUGGUCUGCAACUGACGCUGAGGCUCGAAAGCAUGGGUAGCGAACAGG
RNAcentral lists this ribosomal RNA (429 nucleotides) under bacterium. Its description in RNAcentral is "partial 16S ribosomal RNA". It matches the Rfam family "Bacterial small subunit ribosomal RNA", at positions 355 to 776 of the family's 1533-position model. The record is from RNAcentral.